AUGAACGAGCAACUGGGCUGCUGUUCCCGGUCACCGACGCACACGAAACGUUCAAUAAAUCCACCGAGGGCUGGCUCCUCGUACCUUCCUCCCCUGCCCCAGCUCCCCAGGCCCCACCUCCCCGGCAGGCUGGGAUCCACGUACUUUCGCCGAGAUGAAGUUUGGGGCUCCCCGGGCGGCCACGAGCCGCCCGCCGGCGUGAGGGCUGGCUCUGUUGUUGUUUUCCUCGGGCUGCUUCUGCCCGCGCCCCGGCUCCCGUGCCCCUCUCGGGCGGCGCUGCCUGUGUGUCGAGAGGUGCUGGUUGCAAACGCAGCCUGGCACCGGCUGGCCUACUACUCCCCAGCCCGGCCCCCAGCCUCCCGCCCGCAGGGCACUGCCUCCGCGCCCCCCGCCCCCCGCCGGCGCGGCCGCCGCGACCCUCGCCCCCGACCUCUCCCGACCCAAAGUUUUGGCGGAGGGGGAAAGUGCCCGGGGAGCGGAGCGGCCAGCGGCGGCUCCGGUCGCGCGGGGUUCCCUCCGUCUUCCUCAAGUCCACCCUACCGGCUGCCGCCGCCGCCGCCGCCGCCGCCGCUGCUCCUGCCGCGGAGUCCUUGGGGCUGCAGCCCGGCGGCUCGCAAAUUUGAUGAUCAAACAAAAGUGGAGUUUACAAGGUUAGCACACUUCUCCUUCUCAUGGCCUUGAUUGUCCAUUUUCUUAAUUGUAUUUGAUAGGAAUCUUCUAUUACAAAGUAAUUUUGGGAGACUAAAUUUAAAUAUGUGUGUAUACACAUGUGUAUAAGUCUACAUUUAUGUAAACAUGUCUAUAAAUAACAUUCAUUUCCUUAUUUUAAAAAAUGUUUUAAGUUUUUAUAUUUGAGAGAGAGCGUCCGUGUGCACAUGUGCUCAUGCAUACAAGCAGGAGGAGAGAGAAUUCCACGCAGCCUCCUCGCUGUCAGUGCAGAGCCCAAUGUAAGGCUUAAUCUCCCAUGAGAUCAUGACCUGAGCCAGAAUCAAGAGUGUGGCGCUCAACCAACUGAGCCAACCAGGCACUCUUAUUUCCUUAUUUAUACACUGCUUCUUUAUACAGUCCUAGUUGAAAUCCUGAUUUCACCACUUCCUAACUCUGUGACCUUGGAAAAAUUCCUUAAUCACUCUAAGACUCCGUUUUCUUAUUUGUAAAAUAGGGAUGGUAAGACUAACCAUAAAUGAAAUAAUCCAUGUAGAAUACUGAAGCCUGGAACCUACUGAACAUUCAGUAAAUAUUAAUUUUAUUUAUAUUUCACACAGAAAAAGCCAAUAACAGCUGCUUUACAGAGAGUUUUCUAAGACUUAAUCAGAACAUCAAAUAGAGUUCAUGGAAC
RNAcentral lists this long non-coding RNA (1339 nucleotides) under Felis catus (domestic cat). Its description in RNAcentral is "lncRNA (ENSFCAG00000049989.1)". Lineage: Eukaryota; Metazoa; Chordata; Mammalia; Carnivora; Felidae. The record is from RNAcentral.